This is a long non-coding RNA of Mastomys coucha (southern multimammate mouse), 592 nucleotides long. RefSeq lists it as uncharacterized. The transcript has 3 exons. The record is from RefSeq and is a predicted model, not a curated record. Lineage: Eukaryota; Metazoa; Chordata; Mammalia; Rodentia; Muridae.
GGUGCAUGCACAGCAGGUGACCGACUGUUGAGCCGUCCACCGCACAGCAGGUGAUGUCUAGCAGUCCACCUCGCCUGCAUCUUGGGGAAGAACUAGAGCCAAGGUGGGAGAAGGCUGAACUUGAGGGAAGGACAAGGAACUAGAUUCAACAAACUACUCUGAUCCAACCAGGACUACUAUGUCCAGGUGGAGUCCCUUUGCUGCGAAUCUGAUGGUGGUCUUGUCUACAACUGCACUGUUUUAACAGCACAAUAUGGAGCCUGCAAGGAACUCUCACAGAAGGAGACAGGAGUGCCUGGAGUGCGGAUAUCAGUGUGGCUAUGCCUGGAUUUUACACAGGUUCUGAGAUCUCAAUAUUAAUAUCCAUAGCUGGGGCUUCCGUAUCACAGCCAGUCUCCCAGGAGAUGAGACACCAUUGAGCUAGGAGGUCUGGGUUGGAGCAGAGAGACCAAGAGAUUCUGUGGUGGUGCCUCCUUUCUUCCUCGCAGGAGGGAAGGGUUUAGACGCACUUUAAAAGGGAACACUUCGUGCUCCUUUCUCCAACCUGACCUUGAUGCUGAAAUUGCUUGGCUAAAGCAUUCAGACCCUCCAC